Molecule: ribosomal RNA, 144 nt
Filed under: Phlebotomus sergenti
Lineage: Eukaryota; Metazoa; Arthropoda; Insecta; Diptera; Psychodidae
Description: partial small subunit ribosomal RNA
Source: RNAcentral
UGCGGUUAAAACGUUCGUAGUUGAAUUUGUGUCCCACACGGGUAAUGCACCCAAGUGCGGGUUUUGCAUUACUUGUUGCUCUGUGCGUUUUGUGUAAAAGCAAACGUAUAGUGUGACUUUAAGUGUGACGGAUGUUUUACCGGU